This 1944-nucleotide small RNA is filed under the name Pan troglodytes (chimpanzee). Its description in RNAcentral is "retained intron". Lineage: Eukaryota; Metazoa; Chordata; Mammalia; Primates; Hominidae. The record is from RNAcentral.
AAUAACCAACAUUUAAUUAAAACCCACACCCCACUGUGUGAAUAUUUGUUUGUAAGUAAUACACAUAUAUUACUACAUUAAUAUAAUAAAGAUAGAUAAAAUAGAAAUUGAUGGAGUAGAAAUGCAAAGCAGGUAGAAAAAGUAAACGUAAGUAGAAGAGCUCAUAUUUUCCCCAGGCACAUGGAUGAUCUGAUGUACCUUACUUUGGAGGCCACUGCUCUAGGGACUGGGGACUCAAGCACAGUCCCAGUCCAUGAGGAGCUGAUGAAAAUCAACACCAAGGCUUAUAUAAGACACUUCCCAAUUUUCAAAGGGCUUUUAUACAUAGCAUGUACUUAUAGCUACUAUUUAUAUACAUUAUUUUAUUUGACUUAUGAAAUAGUCGGGGCAAGUCUUAUUGUCUCCAUUUUACCAGGGAAGAAAGUGAGGCUGAGGGAGGCUCAGACCCUGCCCAGGUUCUUCCUGACGCACUGAGAAUCUUUUCUCAUCCUCUUGGAUGUGCUUCCCUGGGCUGCGUGGCUGCGUGGGCACAUGCACCUGUGUAUUCUGAGCACCACCCAGGACUUCAACCCUGCUACUAGGAGAAACAACCUCUCAGCCUCCCAAACAGCACCUCCACCCUGGCAUCCAGCUGGUCCCCGGCCUCCCUCCCUUCCCCCACCCAGUCCGCCUCUGCUGUCUUUGCAGAUGCCAUUGGCCUGCAGCCAGAUGCCCGUGGUGUGGCCACAUCUCUGGGGCUCAAUGAGCGUCUCUUUGUUGUCAACCCACAGGAAGUGCAUGAGCUGAUCCCACACCCUGACCAGCUGGGGCCCACUGUGGGCUCUGCUGAGGGGCUGGACCUGGUGAGUGCCAAGGACCUGGCAGGCCAGCUGACGGACCACGACUGGAGCCUCUUCAACAGUAUCCACCAGGUGGAGCUGAUCCACUAUGUGCUGGGCCCCCAGCAUCUGCGGGAUGUCACCACCGCCAACCUGGAGCGCUUCAUGUGCCGCUUCAAUGAGCUGCAGUACUGGGUGGCCACCGAGCUGUGUCUCUGCCCCGUGCCCGGCCCCCGAGCCCAGCUGCUCAGGAAGUUCAUUAAGCUGGCGGCCCACCUCAAGGAGCAGAAGAAUCUCAAUUCCUUCUUUGCCGUCAUGUUUGGCCUCAGCAACUCGGCCAUCAGCCGCCUAGCCCACACCUGGGAGCGGCUGCCUCACAAAGUCCGGAAGCUGUACUCCGCCCUCGAGAGGCUGCUGGAUCCCUCAUGGAACCACCGGGUGUACCGACUGGCCCUCGCCAAGCUCUCCCCUCCUGUCAUCCCCUUCAUGCCCCUUCUUCUCAAAGACAUGACCUUCAUUCAUGAGGGAAACCACACACUAGUGGAGAAUCUCAUCAACUUUGAGAAGAUGAGAAUGAUGGCCAGAGCCGCGCGGAUGCUGCACCACUGCCGAAGCCACAACCCUGUGCCUCUCUCACCACUCAGAAGCCGAGUUUCCCACCUCCACGAGGACAGCCAGGUGGCGAGGAUUUCCACAUGCUCGGAGCAGUCCCUGAGCACCCGGAGUCCAGCCAGCACCUGGGCUUAUGUCCAGCAGCUGAAGGUCAUUGACAACCAGCGGGAACUCUCCCGCCUCUCCCGAGAGCUGGAGCCAUGAGGAGGGGCUGGGACUGGAGCUGGAGCAGGCACUUGCAGCCAGGAAAGCCAGGGUGUGCCGGGCCAAGAUACUCACAGGCUGGCCACAGCUGGGCAAGGCUCUCCGUGGAGUGGACUCGAGUCCCUGGAGCAGGCAGUGUGGAGGCAGCCAUCCCCUGUGAUGACUGGCAGCUAAGGAGGACCUCGGAGUGGACCUGAGCCAGGAAUAACGAAUGACCCAAGGCCAAGGAAGGGAGGACAGAGAGACCCCAGGAGUGGGUGGAGAGUGGAGUGCGCUGGGACGUUGUGUGCAAUAGAGAGCUCUCCACACC